UGUAGAUGGUUAUUUUGGGUUGUGAGGGAUGGAGAGGGAUAGGGACGGGAUACCCCUCUCCAGUCGAUAGUGCUAGCUCUGAAUAAUUAUAGGCUCUUCAUUUCUUAAAGAAAGGCAAAGAGAAAGAAAAGAAAGAACAUUAUCCCUGGAUCUAUAGAUUCUACACAGCCCCUUUGUUUUUUCUUUUUCUAGUCAAAAGGGUUCUUUGUUCAAAUGAUUCCAGGGGUUCUGACUUUUAAUAACAAAGUUGUAAUCUUUACACCUGCAAAAGAUCAAAGUUUCGAUUUGUUCUAUUUGGGUUUAAAAGUUAGGGUUUUUAUGGUUGUGGAGAGAAAUCAAUCAGUGGGUUUCUGUCAAUGCUGAUUAAAACACUAAAUUUUCAGAAGAUUUGAAGAGAAGAAGUUGUUGGUGGUUUCAAUUUCUUGGCCUGGUUCUGAAGAUAUAUUCCUUUCUACUUCACUUGCUAGCUAUCUUGACAGUAUAAAUUGCAGAGAAGCUUCUUGUUUUGCUGAGAGAUGACCAGAAACUCAUGGGGAUACUUCGUUCUUUUGAUCAAUUCGGUCUGCUUUCUGUCUAUCUGUUGAUUUAUACAGCAAAUGUGGUACUUGAAGGUGCGUGCCUUUUGGGCCGGCGCAAAAGGCAGAAAGGGUUGCUAUAGAUUUGAAAAACAGUUUUGUGCACCCACUUUAUAGAGUAUAUCUUUAAGGUUUUAUAUUGCAUCAAAUACUCCACCCAUCACAAUGGUAGAAUCAUGCUGGUUGCGCAAAAUAACAGUCUGAGGUGGCCAUGGUGCUCUGAUUGGAAUAGCAAGAUAACCCGAUUUUAUCACACACUAUAGUCAUGAACAGUAUCAUAUUGUCAAUUCGUAACAGAAAGUAGUCCUUUUAUUUUCUUAAUGGUCCAGUUUGCAGUUUGUUUCUUAAAUGUGCACUCCUUUACAUUCCCGUGUAUAACUUGCAGAGAAGCUUCUUGUCUUGCUGAGAGAUGGCUGGAAACUCAUGGGGUAUUCGUUCUUUUGAUCUGCUUUUUUUCGUCUCUAUGUUGACUUAUGAAUUUGCGUCUUUUCUGCACUUUGGUAAUGGUAGCUAAUGGAACUUCGUUUUCUGUAUACAACAAGUGCGUCCUUGAAGGAGCUUGUGAACAAGUAACUUUUGGAGAUCUUUGCGUCGACAUUUCAUGAGGUCUUAAUGUGAUCCGCAGGGAAAAUGUUGUCUUAAUAGUCGAACUGAUUUAGAGAGGGAGGAACUUCCCCCCCACAUGACUCGGUGUUCACCUGCCGAGAUAAAAAAGAGCGCAAAAAGCAGAAAGGGAUGCCACAGAAUUGAAAGGCUCCAUGAGAAAAAGAAUGUAGUUUCUGGAUAUGGACUGAAUUCAAGCUAUAUAUCACCCGCAAAUAUUAUCGCGGCUGAUUCUUGCUGGUUAAAGUUGCUUAAAUGUGGCCAUUUUACUCGUCUUUUAGCUGUUCAAAUUUAUCUGUGGCAACCACAAAUUUACUGUAUGCCAUAUACAAUUUGUAGCUCAUGGAAGUUGUGGUUUGCUUCUUGACCCUGGAUUUCAUCUAGUGGUUACUAACCUUAGUUCCAUUCACACAGGAUGCAGCCGUUUGUUAAUGAAGUUUUAAUGGGUUGAUCCCAGUGUCACUGGGGGUGAACAUGGUCUGGAUUCAACCGGUUUUAGCAUCAUCAGCAUCCAGUCCUAUGCAUGACGGACUUGUUUUAGUGUUGUUUGUCUAAAAUUCAACGUAGACAAAUUUCACCCAAAACACAAGCCAUGAAUACCUAAUCAGGAUAUGGUUUGACUAGUAAGCAGAUAUGAUCAGUUAUUUUUGGUGAUCGAUUAUUUCAUGUGAUCUUAUGUGGGAAGAAAUUUCUGGGUGUUGCAUGUAUGCUCUUUGUUGAAUCUUCACCAUCCCAGAGGUGUUGAUGCUGCUGUUGUUUUUCAAAGUUGUGGAUCUCUAGGUUAGUUUGCACAAACAGAUGUUCUUCCGUCCCUCUUCUGGCACUGAUGGUGAUCCUAACUUCUGGUGGUGGUCAUACCUACUAGUGGUGCUGCUGUUGGAUUUCCUUGAUUCGGUGGUGAAAAGACUUGCUUCUUUCGGCGAUCGUCUGAUGUUGUUGGUGUUGCUCCAUACCGAUGAAGUGGUGUCAGGUUCGGGUUAUGGAAUGCCAGUUUCCGGGUGGGUCUAAUUCUCUUGGGCUUGGGCUUUGGCUGCCUUUGUAUAUGUUCUUGUAUAUGCCUUAUCCGUUUCUGUUUGUUUAUAAGUUGGCUUUUGUUGCCGUGUUGUUGUUAGUCUGUUAUGUUGUUUGUAAACUGUUUUUGUUGCCUCCACUUCUUUCAGUGGAAUCGAUUCUGAGAGUCGGUUCCUUGUGUAUCGGGUUGGCUUCUUUAGUUGUGUGCAUUAUAGAUGUUAGCUGUC
Molecule: long non-coding RNA, 2416 nt
Organism: Papaver somniferum (opium poppy)
Lineage: Eukaryota; Viridiplantae; Streptophyta; Magnoliopsida; Ranunculales; Papaveraceae
Exons: 4
Source: RefSeq, a predicted model, not a curated record